Molecule: ribosomal RNA, 395 nt
Filed under: uncultured bacterium
Lineage: Bacteria
Description: partial 16S ribosomal RNA
Rfam family: Bacterial small subunit ribosomal RNA
Source: RNAcentral
AUACGUAGGGUGCAAGCGUUAAUCGGAAUUACUGGGCGUAAAGCGUGCGCAGGCGGUUUUGUAAGACAGUGGUGAAAUCCCCGGGCUCAACCUGGGAACUGCCAUUGUGACUGCAAGGCUGGAGUGCGGCAGAGGGGGAUGGAAUUCCGCGUGUAGCAGGGAAAUGCGUAGAUAUGCGGAGGAACACCGAUGGCGAAGGCAAUCCCCUGGGCCUGCACUGACGCUCAUGCACGAAAGCGUGGGGAGCAAACAGGAUUAGAUACCCUGGUAGUCCACGCCCUAAACGAUGUCAACUGGUUGUUGGGUCUUCAUUGACUCAGUAACGAAGCUAACGCGUGAAGUUGACCGCCUGGGGAGUACGGCCGCAAGGUUGAAACUCAAAUGAAUUGACGGGG